ACGAACGCUGGCGGCGUGCUUAACACAUUCCAGUCGAACGGAAAGGCCCUGCUUUUUUGGGGUUCUCGAGUGGCGAACGGGUGAUUAACACGUGAUUAACCUUCCCUUUUCUUUGGGUUAACUUCAUGAAACUGGGGCUUAUACCGGAUAGUAGCUCCUUCUGCCUGGUGGGGUUUGGAUAGUUUCGGCGGUUGGGGCUGGACUCGCGGCUUAUCAGCUUUUUGGUGGGGUAGUGGCUUACCAAGGCUUUGACGGGUAGCCGGCCUGAGAGGGUGACCGGCCACAAUGGGACAGAGAGACGGCCCAGACUCCUACGGGAGGCAGCAGUGGGGAAUAGUGCACAAUGGGCGGAAGCAUGAUGCAGCAACGCCGCGUGCGGGAUGACGGCCUUCGGGUUGUAAACCGCUUUCGCCUGUGACGAAGCGUGAGUGACGGUAAUGGGUAAAGAAGCACCGGCUAACUACGUG
This 467-nucleotide ribosomal RNA is filed under the name uncultured bacterium. RNAcentral's name for it is "partial 16S ribosomal RNA". It matches the Rfam family "Bacterial small subunit ribosomal RNA", at positions 29 to 507 of the family's 1533-position model. The record is from RNAcentral.